RNAcentral lists this ribosomal RNA (253 nucleotides) under uncultured bacterium. RNAcentral's name for it is "partial 16S ribosomal RNA". It matches the Rfam family "Bacterial small subunit ribosomal RNA", at positions 524 to 776 of the family's 1533-position model. The record is from RNAcentral.
UACGUAGGGUGCGAGCGUUGUCCGGAAUUAUUGGGCGUAAAGGGCUCGUAGGCGGUUUGUCACGUCGGCUGUGAAAAUCCGAGGCUCAACCUCGGGCCUGCAGUCGAUACGGGCAGACUAGAGUUCGGUAGGGGAGACUGGAAUUCCUGGUGUAGCGGUGAAAUGCGCAGAUAUCAGGAGGAACACCGGUGGCGAAGGCGGCGACCUGGGUCGACACUGACGCUGAGGCGCGAAAGCGUGGGGAGCAAACAGG